CACCCUUGUGUGCUUUGGCGGGCCCGCCUCGGCCACCGGCUCCGGCUGGUGAGCGCCCGCCAGAGGACCCCAAACUCUGAAAUUUAGUGUCGUCUGAGUACUAUAUAAUAGUUAAAACUUUCAACAACGGAUCUCUUGGUUCUGGCAUCGAUGAAGAACGCAGCGAAAUGCGAUAAGUAAUGUGAAUUGCAGAAUUCAGUGAAUCAUCGAAUCUUUGAACGCACAUUGCGCCCCUUGGUAUUCCGGGGGGCAUGCCUGUUCGAGCGUCAUUACAACCCUCAAGCUCUGCUUGGUAUUGGGCGUCCCCGGCGACGGGGUGCCCUAAAAUCAGUGGCGGUGCCGUCUGGCUCUAAGCGUAGUAAAUCUCUCGCUCUGGAUGCCCGGUGGAUGCUCGCCAGAACCCCCCAUUUUUUACAGGUUGACCU
This 425-nucleotide ribosomal RNA is filed under the name Neofabraea sp. FL-2010u. RNAcentral describes it as "eukaryotic LSU rRNA". The stretch from base 116 to 269 matches the Rfam family "5.8S ribosomal RNA". The record is from RNAcentral. Lineage: Eukaryota; Fungi; Ascomycota; Leotiomycetes; Helotiales; Dermateaceae.